UAAUACGGAGGGGGCGAGCGUUGUUCGGAAUUAUUGGGCGUAAAGCGUAUAUAGGUGGUUGGACAAGUCAGGCGUGUAAGCCCACGGCUCAACCGUGGAAUUGCGUUUGAAACUAUCCGACUUGAGUGCAGAAGAGGAAAGCGGAAUUUCCAGUGUAGCGGUGAAAUGCGUUGAUAUUGGGAAGAACACCUGUGGCGAAGGCGGCUUUCUGGUCUGUUACUGACACUGAGAUACGAAAGCCAGGGGAGCAAACGGGAUUAGAUACCCUGGUAGUCCUGGCCGUAAACGAUGGGCACUAGGUGUAGGAGGUGUUGAUCCCUUCUGUGCCGCAGCUAACGCAUUAAGUGCCCCGCCUGGGGAGUACGGUCGCAAGGCUG
This 377-nucleotide ribosomal RNA is filed under the name uncultured Nitrospina sp. RNAcentral describes it as "bacterial SSU rRNA". It matches the Rfam family "Bacterial small subunit ribosomal RNA", at positions 521 to 896 of the family's 1533-position model. Lineage: Bacteria; Pseudomonadati; Nitrospinota; Nitrospinia; Nitrospinales; Nitrospinaceae. The record is from RNAcentral.